Molecule: ribosomal RNA, 253 nt
Filed under: uncultured bacterium
Lineage: Bacteria
Description: partial 16S ribosomal RNA
Rfam family: Bacterial small subunit ribosomal RNA
Source: RNAcentral
UACAGAGGUCUCGAGCGUUAGGCGGAAUCACUGGGCUUAAAGCGUGUGUAGGUGGAUCGUUAAGUACCUUGUGAAAUCCCCCGGCUCAACCGGGGAACUGCUGGGUAUACUGGCGGCCUUGAGCCGGCUAGGGGCGAGCGGAACAGACGGUGGAGCGGUGAAAUGCGUAGAUAUCGUCUGGAACGCCGAAGGUGAAAACAGCUCGCUGGGGCCGCGCUGACGCUGAGACACGAAAGCCAGGGGAGCGAACGGG